Molecule: non-coding RNA, 114 nt
Organism: Gossypium arboreum
Lineage: Eukaryota; Viridiplantae; Streptophyta; Magnoliopsida; Malvales; Malvaceae
Source: Rfam
UGUUAAAAAUUUCAUUCAUUUGUACCGUUAAAACUGCCAUGCUAUGCUACAUGUACCUCAUGCUGAUGUAUAUGGAGCAGCUUUUAACAAUAGAAAUGGUUGUAAUUUUUAAUA